Molecule: ribosomal RNA, 491 nt
Filed under: uncultured bacterium
Lineage: Bacteria
Description: bacterial SSU rRNA
Rfam family: Bacterial small subunit ribosomal RNA
Source: RNAcentral
AUGAACGCUAGCGGCAGGCUUAANACAUGCAAGUCGUGGGGCAGCAUAAGGGUAGCAAUACUCUGGUGGCGACCGGCAAACGGGUGCGGAACACGUACGCAACCUUCCUCAAAGCGGGGGAUAGCCUCUCGAAAGAGAGAUUAAUACCCCAUAGUAUCUUGAAACUGCAUGGUUUUAAGAUUAAAGCUCCGGCACUUUGAGAUGGGCGUGCGGCUGAUUAGGUAGUUGGUAGGGUAACGGCCUACCAAGCCAACGAUCAGUAGCUGAUGUGAGAGCAUGAUCAGCCACACGGGCACUGAGACACGGGCCCGACUCCUACGGGAGGCAGCAGUAAGGAAUAUUGGACAAUGGACGCAAGUCUGAUCCAGCCAUUCCGCGUGCAGGAUGAAGGCCCUCGGGUUGUAAACUGCUUUUGUACGGAACGAAAAGGUUUCUAUUAAUACUAGGAGCUCAUGACGGUACCGUAAGAAUAAGCACCGGCUAACUACGUG